CAGUCGCCGCGGGAAUACGGAGGGUGCAAGCGUUAAUCGGAAUUACUGGGCGUAAAGCGCGCGUAGGUGGUUUGUUAAGUUGGAUGUGAAAUCCCCGGGCUCAACCUGGGAACUGCAUCCAAAACUGGCAAGCUAGAGUAUGGUAGAGGGUGGUGGAAUUUCCUGUGUAGCGGUGAAAUGCGUAGAUAUAGGAAGGAACACCAGUGGCGAAGGCGACCACCUGGACUGAUACUGACACUGAGGUGCGAAAGCGUGGGGAGCAAACAGGAUUAGAUACCCGCGUAGUCCCUGUCUCUUAUAC
RNAcentral lists this ribosomal RNA (301 nucleotides) under uncultured bacterium. RNAcentral describes it as "partial 16S ribosomal RNA". It matches the Rfam family "Bacterial small subunit ribosomal RNA", at positions 509 to 807 of the family's 1533-position model. The record is from RNAcentral.